Molecule: long non-coding RNA, 693 nt
Filed under: Marmota monax (woodchuck)
Lineage: Eukaryota; Metazoa; Chordata; Mammalia; Rodentia; Sciuridae
Source: RNAcentral
AGGCAAAGCAAGGACGAGAUUGGCUUUGAGAAGUGUGUCACCAUGGAGGUUAUCCAGAAGAAUUUGGAGGGCUGGUGGUAUAUCAGAUACCUGGUCAAAGAGGGCUGGGCACCAGCAUCCUACCCAAAGAAGGCCAAGGAUGACCUGCCAACCUGGAAAAAGAAUCUGGCAGGCCCCUUGGAGAUCACUGGGAACAUCAUGGAGAUCAGCCACCUGUUAAACAAGAAGAGGUCUGGGGACAAGGAGGUGAAGGCCCUGAAGUCUCUUUGCUAAAAAGGAGAUUAGCCUUCCCAUCCUGUGCAAUGCUUCCAAUGGCAGUGCCCUCAGUGUCCCCGAGAGGACCGUCUCCAAACUGGCCCAGGGUUCUCCAGCUGUAGCCAGGAUUGCCCCACAGAGGGCCCAAAUCAGCUCCCCAAACCUAAGGACAAGAUCUCCACCAUGCCAAGAAUCCAGCUUCGGGUUUCAGCUGCCGAAGCCACCAGAGCCCCCUUCUGUCGAGGUGGAGUACUACACCAUUGCAAAGUUCCAAUCAUGCAUCUCUGAAGUGAUCAGCUUCCACUAUGGAUUGAAUGCAGAGGUCAUUGACAAGAACUCAGGCUGGUGGUAAGUGCAGAUCUGUGAGAAGGAGGGCUGGGCCCCCACAUCCUACAUCAAUAAGCAAAAGAAGCCUAACUUGAGCAGCCGCAGGAGCAC